AAAAAAAAGGUUUUUGUUGUUGGUUUUGGCUGGAAGAAAAAUGGUUGGCAGGUUAUGUGCCGAACCUGAAAAAAUGUGUACAAGUGCAUGUGACUAAAAAGUAUAUAUCUCAGUGAAGUGGUUGGCGAAGCCUGAUGCAGAUAUCUUACUUUGCACCUUUGCCGUCAACCCAACACAUGCAAUAGAUGGUUGUCCACUGCAGGAGUUUGUCCUCCCAUACCAAGUGCCGUUUUCCAGAUUAGGAUUCGGCACUUAGUCAUAUUUUAUAUAAAACCUGGUAUUAAACUGACUCUAAUGACCCAGUCAUAUUUUAUAUAAACCCAGCCAUAAUUUAUAUAAUAACCCAGUUAUAAGUUAUAUAAAAAAAAACCCGUGUGUAAAUUAGAAAUCAUUUAAAAUGAAACUUCAACACACACAACUGCUUGACUAACGGCCAACAACAAAAGCUUCGUCGCAGCUGUGCUGGCCUCCUCAGCUGUCGGUACACCAAAACAGAUGGUCUACCUAAACGACGGUAGCCAGAGAUAGUUGCCGACUCGCACUGCUAAACGGAGAACUGCUUCCAAGCA
Long non-coding RNA from Drosophila nasuta, 569 nucleotides. RefSeq lists it as uncharacterized. The transcript has 3 exons. The record is from RefSeq and is a predicted model, not a curated record. Lineage: Eukaryota; Metazoa; Arthropoda; Insecta; Diptera; Drosophilidae.